CCUACGGGCGGCUGCAGUGGGGAAUAUUGGGCAAUGGGCGCAAGCCUGACCCAGCAACGCCGCGUGAAGGAAGAAGGCUUUCGGGUUGUAAACUUCUUUUCUCAGGGACGAAGCAAGUGACGGUACCUGAGGAAUAAGCCACGGCUAACUACGUGCCAGCAGCCGCGGUAAUACGUAGGUGGCAAGCGUUAUCCGGAUUUACUGGGUGUAAAGGGCGAGUAGGCGGGAAAGCAAGUCAGAUGUGAAAACCAUGGGCUCAACCUGUGGCCUGCAUUUGAAACUGUUUUUCUUGAGUACUGGAGAGGCAGACGGAAUUCCUAGUGUAGCGGUGAAAUGCGUAGAUAUUAGGAGGAACACCAGUUGCGAAGGCGGCUCUCUGGACUGUAACUGACACUGAGGCACGAAAGCGUGGGGAGCAAACAGGAUUAGAUACCCUAGUAGUC
Molecule: ribosomal RNA, 443 nt
Filed under: uncultured bacterium
Lineage: Bacteria
Description: partial 16S ribosomal RNA
Rfam family: Bacterial small subunit ribosomal RNA
Source: RNAcentral